This 175-nucleotide ribosomal RNA is filed under the name Aphanoascus fulvescens. RNAcentral's name for it is "5.8S ribosomal RNA". The stretch from base 1 to 155 matches the Rfam family "5.8S ribosomal RNA". From Rfam's summary of the family: 5.8S ribosomal RNA (5.8S rRNA) is a component of the large subunit of the eukaryotic ribosome. The record is from RNAcentral. Lineage: Eukaryota; Fungi; Ascomycota; Eurotiomycetes; Onygenales; Onygenaceae.
AACUUUCAACAACGGAUCUCUUGGUUCCGGCAUCGAUGAAGAACGCAGCGAAAUGCGAUAAGUAAUGUGAAUUGCAGAAUUCCGUGAAUCAUCGAAUCUUUGAACGCACAUUGCGCCCUCUGGUUAUUCCGGAGGGCAUGCCUGUUCGAGCGUCAUUGCAAACCCCUCAAGCACG